This 107-nucleotide non-coding RNA is filed under the name unclassified sequences. The record is from Rfam.
AUCGAAGACGGAAGUAGCGAUUCCGUUAAAAAAGCCGCCAUUGGCAGUAUAGGAUGUAGCUGGAAUACAGGAUGACCGAUCCAUAAGCCUAUAUGUAAGACCCGAGA